RNA transcript from Bactrocera dorsalis (oriental fruit fly), 1185 nucleotides. It is a transcript of the gene named odorant receptor 63a, with no coding region annotated. NCBI's taxonomy places the organism in Eukaryota, Metazoa, Arthropoda, Insecta, Diptera, Tephritidae. The record is from RefSeq and is a predicted model, not a curated record. The transcript has 7 exons.
ACGGAAAUCAAUUGGAAAUAGACGAGGGGACAACUUCUAUUCACUUUGGGAACCUGCAUCUGCAUUAUGUCUAACUAUUUCUUCUAUGCAUUCUUCAAAAACUUAUACAAUCAUUUGCAAAGCACGCCAAAUUAUGUAUAUAUUCUGCCUUUCACCGGCUAUCCGAUGUUUCUACACAAAGGAAUGGCCUCUCCGUAUUACGCAAUGGACAUGUUUUUCGGUGCUUGCUCGCUAUUUGUCGCCGGCAUGAGUUCCAUUAGCUUCCAGGGUUCCUUCAUGGUGCUUUGUAAGCAUUGCUGUGGAUUGGUCCAAGUAUUAUGUCUACUGUUGGAGAGAUCCACGUCAACUCUGGUUCCAAAACCGCAACGUGUGGAAUAUUUACGCUACUGUAUAGUGCAACAUCAACGCACUCUUGAGUUUAUCGACGAGGUCAAUCAGCUUUUCAGACACAUUUGUCUUUCCCAGUUUCUUCAUAGUCUGGCAAUUUACGGCUUUGUACUCUUCGAGAUGAACUUCGGCUUGGAAUCAAAUAAAAUUACUUUUAUUCGCAUGUUAAUGUAUUUGUGCGCCGCUACAACAGGUGAUUGCAUGCACUACGUCAACGGACAGUUCCUGGCCAACGAGCUGGAAAAGGUUCCGUUAGCUUGUUAUAACUGUGAGUGGUACCACGAAACAGAUGCCUUUAAGAAGACAUUGAGAAUGAUCAUUAUGCGCUCAAAUAAAAAAUUCUGUUUCCAAAUAUCCUGGUUCACAGUAAUGUCCUUGGCUACAUUGAUGGGUGUAAGUAGAUACAAAAUGUACCUUGCAUUUUCACUAUUCAAAAUAUACUGAUAAGUCAUUUCAUGGAAAACUGUAUAUAAAAACGCGUAUACCAGCAAAAGUAGAUCGAUGUGAUUAAAUAUUUAAAUGAUAAUAUUCGGCUCAAGUUGAGAAUUUAGCAACUGCAACAAGAACUUAUUCGACAUUUCCUUAUACAAGCAGCAUAAACCACAGGAGCUAUAGGUCCGCGAAUACAUUUAGUCUCUUCUAGCAUGCCAAGAUCCUCAACUGGUCGAUCUGAUCAUAGUGUAGAAGAAAUUAAAAUAAACUUGCGAAAUUUCUAGCUAAUAGUAAAGCCAAGCAAAAACAUCCUCUGAAAGAUAUGAAAGAUUUAUGUAUCGCUUCCUUAAAACUACUUAAAUGUCA